This 503-nucleotide ribosomal RNA is filed under the name Brachirus annularis (annular sole). RNAcentral's name for it is "partial 16S ribosomal RNA". It matches the Rfam family "Bacterial large subunit ribosomal RNA", at positions 1856 to 2558 of the family's 2925-position model. The record is from RNAcentral. Lineage: Eukaryota; Metazoa; Chordata; Actinopteri; Pleuronectiformes; Soleidae.
UGCCUGCCCAGUGACACUAAGUUAAACGGCCGCGGUAUUUUGACCGUGCAAAGGUAGCGCAAUCACUUGUCUUUUAAAUGAAGACCUGUAUGAAUGGCAAGACGAGGGCUUAACUGUCUCCUUUUUCCAGUCAAUGAAAUUGAUCUUCCCGUGCAGAAGCGGGAAUAGACCCAUAAGACGAGAAGACCCUAUGGAGCUUCAGACAAUAGAACCGCCCACGUCAAACAUCACAAGAUAAAGCUGAGUAAACUAACUGGCCCCUGUCCUAAUGUCUUCGGUUGGGGCGACCAUGGGGAACCACAAAACCCCCACGUGGAAUGAGAGCACUCCCACAAGCCAGAGGGACACCUCUAAUAAACAGAACUUCUGACCUCACAUGACCCGGCAAUGCCGAUCAACGGACCAAGUUACCCUAGGGAUAACAGCGCAAUCCCCUUUCAGAGCCCAUAUCGACAAGGGGGUUUACGACCUCGAUGUUGGAUCAGGACAUCCUAGUGGUGCAG